GACGAACGCUGGCGGCGUGCCUAAUACAUGCAAGUAGAACGCUGAAGGAGGAGCUUGCUUCUCCGGAUGAGUUGCGAACGGGUGAGUAACGCGUAGGUAACCUGCCUGGUAGCGGGGGAUAACUAUUGGAAACGAUAGCUAAUACCGCAUAAGAGUAGAUGUCGCAUGACAUUUGCUUAAAAGGUGCAACUGCACCACUACCAGAUGGACCUGCGUUGUAUUAGCUAGUUGGUGAGGUAACGGCUCACCAAGGCAACGAUACAUAGCCGACCUGAGAGGGUGGUCGGCCACACUGGGACUGAGACACGGCCCAGACUCCUACGGGAGGCAGCAGUAGGGAAUCUUCGGCAAUGGACGGAAGUCUGACCGAACAACGCCGCGUGAGUGAAGAAGGUGUUCGGAUCGUAAAGCUCUGUUGUAAGAGAAGAACGAGUGUGAGAGUGGAAAGUUCACACUGUGACGGUAUCUUACCAGAAAGGGACGGCUAACUACGUG
RNAcentral lists this ribosomal RNA (495 nucleotides) under uncultured bacterium. Its description in RNAcentral is "partial 16S ribosomal RNA". It matches the Rfam family "Bacterial small subunit ribosomal RNA", at positions 28 to 507 of the family's 1533-position model. The record is from RNAcentral.